CACUACACACAUCAUUCCCAAAGCCUCCGUUUCUUCCAAAGUCCAAACAAACCCAAAUUCCAAACUCUUCCCAAAUCGAUCUUUCUUCUUCCUCUCAAACUUUGUUCUCAACCUUCAACUCCUUCCAUAUAAUUGAAAUUGAUUAUAUCACUACACACAACAUUCCCAAAGGCACCGUUUCCUCCAAAGUCCAAACAAACCCAUAUUCCAGAGUCUUCCCAAAUCGAUGUUUCUUCAAGCAACGAAAUAGGGACAUACGGUUCUAGGGGACCCUAGAUUGUUGAUCAGCGAAAUUGAUUCUGGAGUUAGAGGAACUUGUUCUUGGUUGCCUGUGCCUUCACACCACGGAACUUCUUCCAGGUUGUCUGUGCCUUCAACGUUCGGCAAGUAGCUGGAAGUCCAGAUUUUCCACUUGUGCUUAAUUGGGUGAUGCAUGAGUCUGAAUCUCAACUAAAGAUGGCAUUGAUGGAAGAAAACUUGAAGAUGGUGGAGCAAAGAGCAGUUCAAAGAAUGGGGCAAUGGAUGAAAGAAGCUGGAUUUUCUGGCAUGGACACGUCAUCACAAGCAUUUGUGGAGCAGAUCACACAAGGUACUUCAACUCGGCCACAAAGUAAUUUACCAAUUAUCCCAACUCCAUCUAUGCAGUAUGGAUAUCGCCCGGAAGUGCCCACAACUUUAACAAACUAAUAUGGUGAGUUCUGCCAAUAUAGAUGAUAUGAGAGCAGCUUUUGGUUUUUGUUGUAAACUGCUCUCAACUAAUCUUUAGGAGGGUUAGAUGGUAAAUGUAGAUGGGCUAGAAUAGUGAUGUUCUUGGACAAGGAAUCUGUUGUUGAAGGGGGAAGUCAUAGUGGUCUUCCACCUUCAUCAACAAUUACCUUGUUUUGAAUUCCAAGAACUCUUGCUUUCUGAGUUAACUCUAGAACAAUAUGAAUUGUAGUUUGUAUGAACAAUUAUAUUUUGGAAUGAAGAAUUUUCUUUCCUUUGUAUAUA
Molecule: long non-coding RNA, 990 nt
Organism: Rosa chinensis
Lineage: Eukaryota; Viridiplantae; Streptophyta; Magnoliopsida; Rosales; Rosaceae
Exons: 4
Source: RefSeq, a predicted model, not a curated record